UACAGAGGAGCCAAGCGUUGUCCGGAUUGACUGGGCGUAAAGCGCACGCAGGCGGACGCGCGCGUGGGGUGUGAAAUCUGGCCGCUUAACGGCCAGCGGCCAUCCCAUACGGCGGGUCUGGAGCGAUGCAGAGGUCGGUGGAAUUGCCGGUGUAGUGGUGAAAUGCGUAGAGAUCAGGAAGAACAUCGGUGGCGAAGGCGCUCUGCUGGACCAUAACUGACACUCAGGGACGAAAGCUAGGGGAGCGAAUGGG
Molecule: ribosomal RNA, 253 nt
Filed under: uncultured bacterium
Lineage: Bacteria
Description: partial 16S ribosomal RNA
Rfam family: Bacterial small subunit ribosomal RNA
Source: RNAcentral